Armigeres subalbatus is the source of this 1282-nucleotide long non-coding RNA. RefSeq lists it as uncharacterized. The transcript is spliced from 4 exons. Lineage: Eukaryota; Metazoa; Arthropoda; Insecta; Diptera; Culicidae. The record is from RefSeq and is a predicted model, not a curated record.
ACUCUUAGUAUCACCACUAGGUGAAUUAAGUUGGUUUUUUAUUACCGAUUUUCUCACAAUAAGUUGCAUUUAACAGGGGGCAAAGCCUGGUUGAACACCAUUCAAUUUGACAGCUAUCGGCCACUAUUUUCAAAAGUUUAUAAUGAAAAUGAUGUAUCGAACCACACAACCCAGCAAACAAUCAGUUCGACGUUAGACACUAGUUAGGGGAUGUUAGUUAUGUUGCCGUGCAAAUACAUAACCAUUUUUAUGAUUUUAUGCUGCUGCAAUAGUAUUCGUACGUGUAUAUUUCAAUUGUGACUGUUUUGCUUUUGUAUGCAGCCGCACGAAGCCGCACUGCUGAGGUGCUGAAAAAAAAACAAUGAUGAAAAAAGUUUCCGAGCAAUCAAAUCGUUUGGUCCGCGCGGUUGGGAUCCACUUCUUCCAAUGCCGUGCCAGAGAUCGUGUGGAUGCCGGCAUCAAUCUGGUGGCAGAACGAAAGUAAAAUCCAUCGAUGGCGGAUGCGGUAAAUUUAUCAACUUUAAAAAUCGGAUUCGAAUAAACCGGCUGCUGAACCGGCUGAGGCUGCUGAUCGAGUUGCCGACGAUGGUCAUUAGUGCUGUGCUACUGUUUGUGAUGCACUACAUGGACCUACUGGCCAAUCUCCGAGAGAAGCUCUCCCACCUUCACGAGUAUCUAUAUUUAUGAUGGGAAUUUCAAGUCAUCAAGGCCGUGUGGAUGCCUACAUCCGGAAUGCAUGUGCUGCAGCGAGAAAAACGGCACAAGUAGGAAAGCCUUUUAACAACAGAUACCGACAAUUAGUCAGACUACGUCGGCUACAUAGGCAGUCCAAAAUCAUGGACUUUAUUCCAGCGCCAGGAAGCUGUGGAUAUAUUCGAUACCUAUUUUAAAAGAAAAGUGAAAAGCUCCAUCAAAACCAAAUGGAAAACGUUGCUUUUCAAAACGAUUUCGUAUAGAGAUUCUAGAUUUUUCGAAUGAGAAGCCAUUUGAUCAAAAUGUAGAUUGAAACAACAAUAUUGUCAAUGGUUAAAUCACCGAAACUCUUUUUAUAAACUGAAGGUAAGGAAAGCCUUCGCGAACGCACUUUUGUAAAACAAUCAAACAGAACUUUAAAAAUAAUAAUUGCACAAAAAUAAACAAACUAUUCUUCAUUUAAUUCAGUUUUGUUUGCAUCUAGCUGUCAUUCGGUGCAAAAGUGUGCUUGUGUUGGUUAGUAAUAUAUUUCGCGCCAAUACAUGCACUUUUUGCUCGUAUGACAGCUGGAUGUAAAUAAACCAGCAUA